CCUACGGGAGGCUGCAGUGAGGAAUCUUGGUCAAUGGGCGCGAGCCUGAACCAGCCAAGUCGCGUGAAGGAUGACUGCCCUACGGGUUGUAAACUUCUUUUUUAAAGGAGUAAAGUGAUGCGCGUGUACCGUUUUGUAUGUACUUUAUGAUAAAGCAUCGGCUACCGCCGUGCCAGCAGCCGCGGUAAUACGGAGGAGUCGGGCGUGAUCCGGAUUUAUUGGGUUUAAAGGUUGCGUAGGCGGAAUGCCAAGUCAGCGGUAAAAUCGCGGGGCUCAACCUUGCUCCGCAGUUGAAACUGGCGUUCUUGAGUGGGCGAGAAGUAUGCGGAAUGCGGGGUGUAGCGGUGAAAUGCAUAGAUAUAACGCAGAACUCCGAUGGCGAAGGCAGCACACCGGCGCCCAACUGACGCUGAAGCACGAAAGCGUGGGGAGCGAACAGGAUUAGAUACCCUGGUAGUC
Molecule: ribosomal RNA, 459 nt
Filed under: uncultured bacterium
Lineage: Bacteria
Description: partial 16S ribosomal RNA
Rfam family: Bacterial small subunit ribosomal RNA
Source: RNAcentral